AUGAGGCCUUGUCGCGGCGCUGCAAGUGUUGCCCCCCUCCUCCCCAAGGGCAAGGUGAAGGAAGGUGCCUGUGUGGUUCUUCUGCAGCUCGCAGCGAGGAUUGCUGUGUCCAACCUGCACAAAAAUUCCAAGAAGUCCUUCUCGGAGAUGAUUAAGGACAUGUACCUGCACUACAACGAGAGAUCUGGGCUGCUUCUUUGUGGCUUCCAAACUUGA
This 216-nucleotide ribosomal RNA is filed under the name Triticum aestivum (bread wheat). Its description in RNAcentral is "partial small subunit ribosomal RNA". Lineage: Eukaryota; Viridiplantae; Streptophyta; Magnoliopsida; Poales; Poaceae. The record is from RNAcentral.